This 766-nucleotide long non-coding RNA is filed under the name Trifolium pratense (red clover). Its description in RNAcentral is "long non-coding RNA (TPRA_LNC004476)". The record is from RNAcentral. Lineage: Eukaryota; Viridiplantae; Streptophyta; Magnoliopsida; Fabales; Fabaceae.
AAAUUGGUCCCUUAAAGACUUUGCCGUUAAACAUUUUGGUCCUUUCCGUCCAGAAACUGUUAAUUUGUACAUGUGGCAAACUGAGUGCUUACAUGGCUGCUUACGUGGUUGCUUACAUGGAUGCUUACUAGGUAAAUCAUUUAUGUUAAAAAAAAAACUUAAAUUUAAAAUUUAAAAUAAAAAAAAAUUAUACAAACAAAAGAAUGGAUGAAGAAGAAGAUGAAAAAUUAUACAGACAAAAAAAAUAUAAUAUACCUAACAUAGCCUUCUUCCUCACAUAUCAUCACCCUAAAGAUAAGCAAUUUAUCAAUAAACCCAGAUGAAUGUAGCUCUCAAAUUGAAGUUAGAUAACGUAAAGAUAGUUUUUUUGUUUGUUGAAAUUGAUUGAAUUGAGAUAGAAAAUGAGAAAGGGAACUGACCAAGACUAACACCCUGAGUGAGGACCUGACGGAUCUGAAGAGAUUUGAUAGAAUCGACGGUGUCACCGACGAAACCCAUUGCUUUGUUUCUUGUGAUUCUGAGAGAGUGUUGUUGCUUCUUCUUGUUUAUGCUAACACCACCAAGUUGUUGUUGUUCUACCAGUUUUGUUUUGUUGAGUGAGUGACUCUUUUCUUUGCGUUUUGGUUUUCGCCGGUUAACAAAUAGACAGAGCCAAACACCAAACAAAUGCCAAUUUUUUACAACAAACAAACGUUUUUUAAUUUUUAAAUUUUAACUUUAAGUAUUUUUUUUAACUUAAAUGAUUUACCUAGUAAGCAUCCAUGUA